This 76-nucleotide transfer RNA is filed under the name Streptomyces xanthochromogenes. RNAcentral describes it as "tRNA-Glu". Lineage: Bacteria; Bacillati; Actinomycetota; Actinomycetes; Kitasatosporales; Streptomycetaceae. The record is from RNAcentral.
CUGGGCGGUGGGCGAGCCCUUCAUGCCCAUCUUCUUCUCGGGGACGGCGGCGCUGAGCCCCUCCGCGUCGCCCGGG